RNAcentral lists this ribosomal RNA (301 nucleotides) under uncultured bacterium. Its description in RNAcentral is "partial 16S ribosomal RNA". It matches the Rfam family "Bacterial small subunit ribosomal RNA", at positions 509 to 808 of the family's 1533-position model. The record is from RNAcentral.
CAGUAGCCGCGGUAAUACGUAGGGGGCAAGCGUUGUCCGGAACUAUUGGGCGUAAAGCGCGCGCAGGCGGUUUUUUAAGUCUGGUGUCUAAGUGCGGGGCUCAACCCCGUGACGCACUGGAAACUGGGAGACUUGAGUGCAGAAGAGGAGAGCGAAAUUCCACGUGUAGCGGUGAAAUGCGUAGAGAUGUGGAGGAACACCAGUGGCGAAGGCGGCUCUCUGGACUGUAACUGACGCUGAGGCGCGAAAGCGUGGGGAGCAAACAGGAUUAGAUACCCGCGUAGUCCCUGUCUCUUAUACA